CGAUGAGAGAUACACGUGCUUCUAAUAAAAAGCUGAGGACGAGCAGCAGGAUUGUAUUAACAUUUCAAGUAAUUACGACCGUGCAGUUGGAAGACCUUGGGCAAGUCCCUACUCUUCUCCGACCCUCGGUCUUUUCUUCUCUGCAAUGGGUAUGAGAACGUUUAACCUGCGGGAUUGUGCUUUGGCUCACACCCAUCACAGCUGUGGCUUAUGAAGCGCCUCCUGUGUGCAGAGGACUAUUUGUCAUCUCCCCUCUCUCCCAGGAGGGGAGGUUGGGCACCAGCUGCCCCCCCGACCCAGGAGAGGACAGUGAAGUUGGAGACGUGGCUGGAGAUGCCGCCGCGGGAGGGAAGGAAGUGGGGGGGCUGGGCAGGCUGGACUGACGCAGCUGUGAUGUCAGAGACAGGCCGCAGGCGGUGGCCGGCCCAGUGCGAACGACAGCCAUCCCCGGGGCCUGGCCUUGCCCACAAGAUUCCCAGAUUUCACAACCGGGGCUGGCGCUGAAUCAUGUACAGUAAGUCCGGGGAGAGAAACUCCUGGCUGCCCGGCGUCCCCAGGACCGGCUGGCCGCCAAGCCAGUCUUCCCUCCCCACGGAAGUACUGGAACGUUCCUGGGAUUUCGGGAGCAGCCGCCAGUCCUGGAAGCUGUCCCAGAAUUCUGGAAUGUUGGAAUUCAAAUGGCCUGCUGCCCAUUUUUCAGAAGAGGAACAUGACGCCCAGAGAGGGAAAGCGGUUGGCCUGAGGUCACACAGCAUGCUGGGAAGCGCUAGAGUUUUCCAAGAGAAGGUGGGAUCAGUAUCCAUCUCCUGGUUUCUCCUGUAUUGGGGUAAUAGCACCCCAAUUUCCUACUGGAGAACCUCCUCUUCCCUCAUCUCAUUCCAUGAGAUUUGGGUGGGGUGUCCUAGGACCCUGUCUCCAAGGGUGGACAUGUGACCAAGUCUGGUUCCAUGUGAUUGGUCCAGGGAUGGGCGUGUAACUAAGCCUGCCCAAUGAAACUUGAUCCUGGGACUUUGGUUGCUGAGAAUUAUUGGUGAUAAGACUUGCAGUUUUUCCAUUGGAUGGAGAGUGAGCAAGUGAAAGCCUGGAGCAUCAGGGGACUUCAUAAGAGAAAAACCUGCCUGAGAGAGAUCAACACAGAGCUAGACAGGGUUGGAACCCCUGGAUCCAGCCAUACCUGAAAUUAGACACACUUGGAUUUUUUUUCACGAGCCCCUACAUUUCCUGUUUUUGGCUGAAAACAGUUUGGUUUUCCAUCACUUGCACACAAAAGGGCAUGAUUGGCCCGGGGGAAGGGAGAAGGAAGGGAUUCCAGGCCGAGGAAAUAGCCUGUGUCACGACCCUGAAGCAGCAACGCUAGGGGAUAUUCAGAUAACAGGGCAGAGAGAGUCAUCCCCAAGGUGAGCUUAGGAGUUUGUCCGGUGGUCAGGGUGGGAGAAGGGAGCGCCUCCAAGCAGAGGGAACAACGGAUGAGAGUGCUCGGAGGGGUGACCAGCGAGUGAAGACUAACCACAUGCUGGGCUUGUGUUGGGUGCCGAGGAACACGGAGAUGAAAAAUGCGAAAUUGAAUCCAGCUACUUCUUAACGGCUCUGGCCAAAUGUGGGCUCUUCUGCUUUCAGAGCUGAGCCAUCAUACCCUUCCAGCAUGCUGUCUCAGAUACUCACAUGUUCUCUUUGUUGAUGUUGGGCACCAUCGGGGCCACCCAACUUCAUUUUAUAGGGUGCAGAGCGUCAGUUCACAUUGGGUCACAUAGAGUCCUUCCCUUUGCAGAUCUUUCUAUAGUUCUUCCUUUGCAUCAUGAAGAGCAGAUGCCAACCUAUCUCUAACACCCAAUACUUGCUUAUCUCCCUUGGUGAAAAUGAGCAAGUCUCAGAUGUCAUACCUCUGGCAUACAGCUUUUUCUAGCUAAACUUUUAAAACCUUUGUACUCAGCUAUGACAUAUGCGGGAGAAGAAACUGGCAACCCACUCCAGUAUUCUUGCCUGGAAAAUCCCAUGGACAGAGGAGCCUGAUAAGCUACAGUCCAUGGGGUUGCAAAGAGUCGGACACGACUGAAGUGCCUGAGCAUGACAUAUGCAAAGAAGUACUCGGCUUGAAUUUUCACAGCUGAGUAAUUGCUGCUGCUGCUGGUAAGUUGCUUCAGUCAUGUCAGACUUUUUGCAACCCCAUAGACAG
Bubalus bubalis (water buffalo) is the source of this 2173-nucleotide long non-coding RNA. RefSeq lists it as uncharacterized. The record is from RefSeq and is a predicted model, not a curated record. The transcript has 3 exons. NCBI's taxonomy places the organism in Eukaryota, Metazoa, Chordata, Mammalia, Artiodactyla, Bovidae.